Molecule: ribosomal RNA, 492 nt
Filed under: uncultured bacterium
Lineage: Bacteria
Description: partial 16S ribosomal RNA
Rfam family: Bacterial small subunit ribosomal RNA
Source: RNAcentral
AGUGAACGCUGGCGGUAGGCCUAACACAUGCAAGUCGAACGGCAGCACAGUAAGAGCUUGCUCUUACGGGUGGCGAGUGGCGGACGGGUGAGGAAUACAUCGGAAUCUACUUUUUCGUGGGGGAUAACGUAGGGAAACUUACGCUAAUACCGCAUACGACCUACGGGUGAAAGCAGGGGAUCUUCGGACCUUGCGCGAUUGAAUGAGCCGAUGUCGGAUUAGCUAGUUGGCGGGGUAAAGGCCCACCAAGGCGACGAUCCGUAGCUGGUCUGAGAGGAUGAUCAGCGACACUGGAACUGAGACACGGUCCAGACUCCUACGGGAGGCAGCAGUGGGGAAUAUUGGACAAUGGGCGCAAGCCUGAUCCAGCCAUACCGCGUGGGUGAAGAAGGCCUUCGGGUUGUAAAGCCCUUUUGUUGGGAAAGAACAGCAGCAGGUUAAUACCCAGCUGUUCUGACGGUACCCAAAGAAUAAGCACCGGCUAACUUCGUG